RNAcentral lists this ribosomal RNA (568 nucleotides) under uncultured bacterium. Its description in RNAcentral is "bacterial SSU rRNA". It matches the Rfam family "Bacterial small subunit ribosomal RNA", at positions 338 to 916 of the family's 1533-position model. The record is from RNAcentral.
CCUACGGGAGGCAGCAGUGGGGAAUAUUGCGCAAUGGGCGAAAGCCUGACGCAGCGACGCCGCGUGAGGGAUGACGGCCUUCGGGUUGUAAACCUCUUUCAGCAGGGAAGAAGCGAAAGUGACGGUACCUGCAGAAGAAGCACCGGCUAACUACGUGCCAGCAGCCGCGGUAAUACGUAGGGUGCGAGCGUUGUCCGGAAUUAUUGGGCGUAAAGAGCUCGUAGGCGGCCUGUCGCGUCGGAUGUGAAAACUCGGGGCUUAACCCCGAGCCUGCAUUCGAUACGGGCAGGCUAGAGUUCGGCAGGGGAGACUGGAAUUCCUGGUGUAGCGGUGAAAUGCGCAGAUAUCAGGAGGAACACCGGUGGCGAAGGCGGGUCUCUGGGCCGAUACUGACGCUGAGGAGCGAAAGCGUGGGGAGCGAACAGGAUUAGAUACCCUGGUAGUCCACGCCGUAAACGUUGGGAACUAGGUGUGGGCGACAUUCCACGUCGUCCGUGCCGCAGCUAACGCAUUAAGUUCCCCGCCUGGGGAGUACGGCCGCAAGGCUAAACGUUAAAUGAAUUGACGG